UAACGGGUUCAGUGGUUCCAGUUUGGUC
Molecule: small RNA, 28 nt
Filed under: Bombyx mori (domestic silkworm)
Lineage: Eukaryota; Metazoa; Arthropoda; Insecta; Lepidoptera; Bombycidae
Description: ovarian small RNA-5677
Source: RNAcentral